This 496-nucleotide ribosomal RNA is filed under the name uncultured bacterium. RNAcentral describes it as "partial 16S ribosomal RNA". It matches the Rfam family "Bacterial small subunit ribosomal RNA", at positions 29 to 507 of the family's 1533-position model. The record is from RNAcentral.
AUGAACGCUGGCGGCGUGCCUCAUACAUGCCAGUCGCGCGAACAGACGAGGAGCUUGCUCCUCUGACGUUAGCGGCGGACGGGUGAGUAACACGUGGAUAACCUACCUAUAAGACUGGGAUAACUUCGGGAAACCGGAGCUAAUACCGGAUAAUAUAUUGAACCGCAUGGUUCAAUAGUGAAAGACGGUUUUGCUGUCACUUAUAGAUGGAUCCGCGCCGUAUUAGCUAGUUGGUAAGGUAACGGCUUACCAAGGCAACGAUGCGUAGCCGACCUGAGAGGGUGAUCGGCCACACUGGAACUGAGACACGGUCCAGACUCCUACGGGAGGCAGCAGUAGGGAAUCUUCCGCAAUGGGCGAAAGCUUGACGGAGCAACGCCGCGUGAGUGAUGAAGGUCUUCGGAUCGUAAAACUCUGUUAUUAGGGAAGAACAAAUGUGUAAGUAACUAUGCACGUCUUGACGGUACCUAAUCAGAAAGCCACGGCUAACUACGUG